RNAcentral lists this ribosomal RNA (423 nucleotides) under uncultured bacterium. RNAcentral describes it as "bacterial SSU rRNA". It matches the Rfam family "Bacterial small subunit ribosomal RNA", at positions 917 to 1344 of the family's 1533-position model. The record is from RNAcentral.
GGGCCCGCACAAGCGGUGGAGCAUGUGGUUUAAUUCGAUGAUACGCGAGGAACCUUACCAGGGCUUAAAUGUAUUCUGACAGCUUUAGAGAUAGAUCUUUCUUCGGACUACCUACAGGUGCUGCAUGGUUGUCGUCAGCUCGUGCCGUGAGGUGUCAGGUUAAGUCCUAUAACGAGCGCAACCCCUGUCGUUAGUUACCAGCAAUUAAAGUUGGGUACUCUAGCGAGACUGCCGGUGCAAACCGUGAGGAAGGUGGGGAUGACGUCAAAUCAUCACGGCCCUUACGUCCUGGGCUACACACGUGCUACAAUGGCCGGUACAGAGAGCAGCCACUACGCGAGUAGGAGCGAAUCUUCAAAGCCGGUCUCAGUUCGGAUCGCAGUCUGCAACUCGACUGCGUGAAGCUGGAAUCGCUAGUAAUCG